Molecule: long non-coding RNA, 628 nt
Organism: Fukomys damarensis (Damara mole-rat)
Lineage: Eukaryota; Metazoa; Chordata; Mammalia; Rodentia; Bathyergidae
Exons: 3
Source: RefSeq, a predicted model, not a curated record
CAAAAUUCCAUUUGGGAAAGGAAAUAAAACCUGCAGACCAGAAUGUGGGGACCUUGUUGGGGGGCACAGAAGAAGGAGAACAGCCAAUCCCCUUGAGGAAGGACUCAGGACAGCAAGAGAUGCGAUAGGCCCUAGAUCACUGGGGUGGAAGUUGGAGGGCCCAGGAAGGACAGCUCCCCCAGACACAGCCAAGCAGCACACCUGGAGGUGGUCUCGGAUGUAACUGGCAAAGAUACCCUAAAGACCGAGUGAAAGGGCUGGGGAUUUAGCUCAGUGGUUCGGUGGCCUGCCUUGCAAGCGCAAGGACUCGAGUUCAAUCCCCGGUACCAAAAAAAAAGACCGAGUGAAAGGCAGUAGAAACAAGUAUGCCCUCUGGUGUUGACUAUGGAUUUGCCAUAUUCUCAACUAAGAAGAGCAACAUACUUAUCCCUAUGUGUCUCAAUCCUGGCCUGAGGACAGCUGUCUCAGAAUCGCCCAGAGGGGUCUGAGAAAAAUGCAGCUUCAGGGCUCCACCCCAAGCUCUCCAACUAAAUGAAUCCAGGGGCAAUCCAGGAAAGAUGGAGAAGCUUGUGUCAUCCCAAGCUCUAAAAUGUGGCUGUAGGACAUGGUCCCCAAAUAAAGCCAAAGA